GUGAGUAGUUCAGAGUUUGAUCCUGGCUCAGGACGAACGCUGGCGGCAUGCCUAACACAUGCAAGUCGAACGGAACUUGUUGAAUGAAGUUUUCGGAUUGGAUUUUGGUCAAGUUUAGUGGCGGACGGGUGAGUAACGCGUGAGCAACCUGCCUUUCAGAGGGGGACAACAGUUGGAAACGACUGCUAAUACCGCAUGAUGUAUUUUAACCGCAUGGUUUUAAUACCAAAGAUUAUAUCGCUGAAAGAUGGGCUCGCGUACGAUUAGAUAGUUGGUGAGGUAACGGCUCACCAAGUCGACGAUCGUUAGCCGGACUGAGAGGUUGAACGGCCACAUUGGGACUGAGACACGGCCCAG
Molecule: ribosomal RNA, 357 nt
Filed under: uncultured bacterium
Lineage: Bacteria
Description: bacterial SSU rRNA
Rfam family: Bacterial small subunit ribosomal RNA
Source: RNAcentral